Molecule: ribosomal RNA, 253 nt
Filed under: uncultured bacterium
Lineage: Bacteria
Description: partial 16S ribosomal RNA
Rfam family: Bacterial small subunit ribosomal RNA
Source: RNAcentral
UACGUAGGGGGCAAGCGUUGUCCGGAAUCAUUGGGCGUAAAGCGCACGUAGGCGGCCCUGUAAGUCCGUUGUGAAAGUCAAAGGCUCAACCUUUGAAUGCCGAUGGAUACUGCAGGGCUAGAGUCCGGAAGAGGCGAGUGGAAUUCCUGGUGUAGCGGUGAAAUGCGUAGAUAUCAAGAGGAACACCUGAGGUGAAGACGGGUUGCUGGGCUGACACUGACGCUGAGGCGCGAAAGCCAGGGGAGCAAACGGG